RNAcentral lists this long non-coding RNA (253 nucleotides) under Elaeis guineensis (African oil palm). Its description in RNAcentral is "long non-coding RNA (EGUI_LNC079590)". Lineage: Eukaryota; Viridiplantae; Streptophyta; Magnoliopsida; Arecales; Arecaceae. The record is from RNAcentral.
CCCACAAUCCCACCCAUACUAGAUGUUGGCAUGUAAAAAAAAAACAGCAAAAAUAGGAGGGAGCUAAAAGCCUAGUAAGUUACCUCUGUCACUAUUCGAUUAAGUAUUAAAUGCAUAAAUUUUAGGAUCAUAUUUUAAGAUUUUUUGAUUUAUAGUUUAAGGUAUGCUGAGCAAAAUAAAAUAUGCAUGUAUUCAAAAUCAUCAACAUAUCUGAAUAAUAGAAGAAGAAAAUAUAACUUUUAAUCAUUGUACC